CUUUCCCUUGCCAGUGGUGUCAAAUCUGCCUUCCUUUUUAUUAUUCUGACUUAUAAACUGCAGUGACCUCUGAGUCAACUUCGCCAUCUCUUGGCCCUGUGCCAACAUUGUGUUCUGUGAAAAGAGAGUCCUGCCAAGGGCUACGAGGCAGAAAACUGAUAUUAUUAAAGUGGUCUUCUGAACGGACUUUAGCUGAGGUUGGUUGGGGCAGAAGUCGGGCAAGACUCAUCGGAACGGAUUAACAGAGACAGAAUCCAGAGGCAAC
RNAcentral lists this long non-coding RNA (265 nucleotides) under Homo sapiens (human). Its description in RNAcentral is "non-protein coding LINC00486:1". Lineage: Eukaryota; Metazoa; Chordata; Mammalia; Primates; Hominidae. The record is from RNAcentral.